UACGGAGGGUGCAAGCGUUAUCCGGAUUCACUGGGGUUUUAAAGGGUGCGUAGGUGGGCAGGUAAGUCAGUGGUGAAAAUCUCUGGGGCUUAAACCCCGGGAAAACUGCCCGUUUGAUUACUAUCUGUCUUUGAAUGUAGUGGAGGGUGAGCGGAAUAAUGUCAUGUAGCGGUGAAAAAUGCUUUAGAUAUGACAUAGAAACAUCGAUUUGCGAAAGGCAGCUCACUACGGGGAAAUAUUUGACGCUGAGGCACGAAAAGCGUGGGGGAUCAAAACAGG
RNAcentral lists this ribosomal RNA (279 nucleotides) under uncultured bacterium. RNAcentral describes it as "partial 16S ribosomal RNA". It matches the Rfam family "Bacterial small subunit ribosomal RNA", at positions 524 to 776 of the family's 1533-position model. The record is from RNAcentral.